AGUGAAGCAAGUCAUCCACUCCAGGGCAUGAACAUGGAUUUUCUUUCUUUAAAAUAUUCAAAUGGAAAAAAAGGACUUGAAAUCCUAAGAUUCCUGUUCACCGAGGAGAUGUUUCCUACUCAGACUGCUGAUGCACAGCUAUUCACAUCUGGAGAAAAAGGAUGACAAGAAUUGCAUUCACUCUUCAUGUGACAACUCACAGCUGAAAGAAUCUCAAGUAUUUUUUGGGAAUCUACAUAUCAAGAAUAAUAAAAAUUGCAAGAAAACUCAUGAGGGAGCGCAGAAGGAAGAAGGAAUAUAUGAACAAGUCUCCACACAGCAAAUAUCACCUCCAGUCAUAUUCAUACAAGAUAACGAGAUGACCCCUCUGCCACUUUCCUUCAAAGUUGAAACAGAGAUCACUGUGCAAGCUGUCUUCACUAGGACUGAGCCACACCCUGCACCAUUCUGUGCAGCAAAUGCUCCAUUUCCAG
This is a long non-coding RNA of Gallus gallus (chicken), 473 nucleotides long. The record is from Ensembl. Lineage: Eukaryota; Metazoa; Chordata; Aves; Galliformes; Phasianidae.